CAGUAGCCGCGGUAAAACGAGGGGAGCUAGCGUUGUUCGGAAUUACUGGGCGUAAAGCGCGCGUAGGCGGCUUUUUAAGUCAGAGGUGAAAGCCCGGGGCUCAACCCCGGAAUUGCCUUUGAAACUGGAAAGCUAGAAUCUUGGAGAGGUCAGUGGAAUUCCGAGUGUAGAGGUGAAAUUCGUAGAUAUUCGGAAGAACACCAGUGGCGAAGGCGACUGACUGGACAAGUAUUGACGCUGAGGUGCGAAAGCGUGGGGAGCAAACAGGAUUAGAGACCCCUGUAGUCCCUGUCUCUUAUAC
Molecule: ribosomal RNA, 301 nt
Filed under: uncultured bacterium
Lineage: Bacteria
Description: partial 16S ribosomal RNA
Rfam family: Bacterial small subunit ribosomal RNA
Source: RNAcentral